RNAcentral lists this ribosomal RNA (651 nucleotides) under uncultured Amycolatopsis sp. Its description in RNAcentral is "bacterial SSU rRNA". It matches the Rfam family "Bacterial small subunit ribosomal RNA", at positions 95 to 760 of the family's 1533-position model. The record is from RNAcentral. Lineage: Bacteria; Bacillati; Actinomycetota; Actinomycetes; Pseudonocardiales; Pseudonocardiaceae.
GUGGCGAACGGGUGAGUAACACGUGGGUAAUCUGCCCUGUACUCUGGGAUAAGCCUGGGAAACUGGGUCUAAUACCGGAUAUGACCUUUCACCGCAUGGUGGGGGGUGGAAAGUUCCGGCGGUAUGGGAUGAACCCGCGGCCUAUCAGCUUGUUGGUGGGGUAAUGGCCUACCAAGGCGACGAUCCUUAGCUGGUCUGAGAGGAUGAUCGGCCACACUGGGACUGAGACACGGCCCAGACUCCUACGGGAGGCAGCAGUGGGGAAUAUUGGACAAUGGGCGAAAGCCUGAUCCAGCAAUGCCGCGUGAGUGAUGACGGCCUUCGGGUUGUAAACCUCUUUCGCCAGGGACGAAGCGCGAGUGACGGUACCUGGAUAAGAAGCACCGGCUAACUACGUGCCAGCAGCCGCGGUAAUACGUAGGGUGCGAGCGUUGUCCGGAAUUAUUGGGCGUAAAGAGCUCGUAGGCGGUUUGUCGCGUCGGCUGUGAAAUCUGGAGGCUUAACCUUCAGCGUGCAGUCGAUACGGGCAGACUUGAGUUCGGCAGGGGAGACUGGAAUUCCUGGUGUAGCGGUGAAAUGCGCAGAUAUCAGGAGGAACACCGGUGGCGAAGGCGGGUCUCUGGGCCGAUACUGACGCUGAGGAGCGAAAGC